Long non-coding RNA from Chiroxiphia lanceolata (lance-tailed manakin), 4173 nucleotides. RefSeq lists it as uncharacterized. The transcript has 5 exons. The record is from RefSeq and is a predicted model, not a curated record. Lineage: Eukaryota; Metazoa; Chordata; Aves; Passeriformes; Pipridae.
CAUGACUUCCUAAUGGCAAUUAUAAAAGGUAAUCUUAUUAGAAUUGAGCUUUGGCUUCAUUGGCUUUGGCUUGCUUUCUCAAUAGUGUGUACUUUUUGCCCAUCUCCACUGAUAUUGUAUUACAUUUAUAUACAUGGCCACUUGAGAAGGGUACUUAUUGGUCUAGACCUUUCUUAGUUUUGAAGCAAGUGUAAGACAGCUAUAAAGAAAGCAACCAACCUUUUUGUACACUAAUUUUGAAGUAUUUAGUCAAUAACAAUUAGCUCAUAUAAAAGAAGAUUGGGGUUUUUUCCCAGCAAAACCAAGGCAAGUGCUUGUACCAUAUCUACAAAUCCACAGACUCUGAAAGACAACCAAAAUGCAGGUCUGAUGAGGAGACAGCAGAAACUCUAGCAACACUAGGGAAAGUUUGUUGUCUUGGAAACUGCUCAGCUAAUCUCCUGAUUCUGCUGUUUAUUAAUGACUAAAAAUUUAUAACUAACAACCCCAAAAUUUAUAUUAAACACCAGUGGAUAUCACUUAACAUAAAUUUUGCUACUUCAUUUUCAUUUGUAGUGUGAACUUUAUUCAGUGUUCCAGUGUACUCUUUGAUCUGUUGACAUAGGGCUUAUUUCCUUUUUCCUGUGCAUAGUGGACAUUAAGCAGUUUUCACAGGAGCUAUAUACACAAACAUUUGCAGUAAAGUUUGCUGGCUGAGUUAUUGCUAGGAUUGAAGCAAGAGAGUUUUAUUUCCUUCUACUUUUUGUUUUUGUGCGAAUGCAAUGAAUUAUAAAGAUGCCAAAUUAUAUACAGUGGUGUUGGGUGCAUUUUUUUAGUUAUUUUAGAUCAAAUAUCACAGGAUCAUAGAACAGUUUGGGUUGUAAGGAACCUUGAAAAUCCUGUAGUUCCAACCACCCUGCUGCAGGCACAGACACCUUCCACUAAACCAGGUUGCUCAAAGCCCCGUGCAACCCAGCCUUGAACGUGAGUAUGCUGUCUGUGAUUACAGACAGUUCAUAUAUAAACUAUUUCUUCUCCAUAGAGUCUCUUCAUAAUGGGUGAUUGAACAACCUUGGAAAUAAACCCUUUAUACAUAUUAUAAAAAUGUUAAAUAUUGCUAUUGUUAAUAAUACAGGUCACUUUGCCUUUCAGUAUGUGUAGACUUCUUUCCAUGUUUGAAACAAGGAUUGGACUUUGGGGUGACCAUCCUUCACCCUUUGCUAGUACCAAGCAACUAAAAAAGGAGAAUUGUCUGAUUUGAAAGCAAGAGCCAUACAUACAGGAAGGGAGGAAAAUGAAGAUGCAGCUCAAAGGCAAACAAGAGAAGGAGUGAGUGUUUCCUCUGGGAACUAGGAUAAGAGGAAGCUUGGAUAGACUCACCAGAAAGAACGAGAUGCAGAACGGAACAGGGAACUGAGGAACAGAAAUCCAUGGGCACCAUAUACGGAGAAGAUGUGUAACAGGAGGCAGUGUGGCAGGGGAACAAUGUUUUACCUUCUUUCAAGUAGAACCCCAUAGUGACAGAAGCUACAUUCCUAAACUCCUGGGAAGCAAAUACAAAAGAAUAACAGAAGUGUCUCCAUCCUGAUUGUGUUCAAUCAAGGCACUCCAAGAGUGAGAUUUGGAGUAUUUAAGGGAUCUACUAAAGUUCAGAAAUGAAACAUAGGUUAUCUAGAACAAUGGAUCUUUCUACAGUAAUAGCAAGGCUUGACUAUGUGAGAACAGAAUUUUCUUUGGAAACAGUUCAGCUCUGUCUCAGAAACUACAGAUAAGGAAUGAUCCUUGAACCCGUCUCAUCUGAGACAGGCAUUGCUUUCACUGUUGUUUCUAUGACAGCUGAAUGUGAAUGGUGAAUGUAUCUUUGGAAGGCAGAAGCCACUGAUUACACCCCAGAAGAUGUGAUUCAUUUGAACUACAAAAUCUCUGCUUGUUGUGGUACUAAUAAGCAUUGUGCCUACUGAAAGCUGUAGCAGAAGAGAAAGGGAGGAGGCCUAACAUGCCUGACACUGUCUUUUAUCUGUGUUGCAGCAAGGGGAGAAAGAAAGAUGUACAGGAAUUGUUUUAUCAUCAUGCACACAUAUACACACACAUAAGCAUUUUUAUUUGUUUAUCUAAUCUCCUGGACGCUUUUUCAAUGCCUGUUUUAACCCUUUGUUCUUGAAGUAAGUAAGGAAAAACUAUAUGACAGGCAUUUAAUUUUUUUCUUUCCUGAGAGCAGCUAGUGUCCCUUGUGUUGAGAAGAAAAUAGUACCGUGUGGAAAGCUAAAUUUCAAUUAACACAUCAAAGGGCAGUUUGUGGUAUUUUGCCUAUAACUAAGGCUUAACUGAGUUGCAGGACUCUGGGAAUUUUGUGUUUUCCUAUAUGCUCACUUACUGCAUUCUUAGCUCUCCUACUUUUCUAGUCUUCCUCUGCUUCUCCAAAUGGGACUAAUGAAAGCAGUAUAAUCUUGUCGAAUAUGGUUCUUGCUGAGGAAUUAGAUGAACAGCUGCUGGGAACAGUCUGGGAAUACAAUUUGGUGGAAAAAAAGAGAUGAGGUACAAACAAAUUCCCUUAUGAUGCCAUUCAUUCUAUAUGCAGUAUUAUACCAGAGGGUGGAAAAAUGGGAAGGCCUAAAAUUCAAUUUCAAUUUGAGCUGGUUUAAAAAGAAGCAAUUCUACAUACAUUGCAGCCACAAAAACAUAUAUUUAUAGGCACAGGCUUUCACUUUGUAGGUAGAAACUGCACAGCUGGUUGUGUACAUCUGGUUUUUUGCAUGCAUAAGAACUUACUUUUACAGGCAAAACUAUUGUACUUUCUUCUCAGUAUUUCCCAAACAGUUAUGCUAAUUCCUACAUUAUCUAGUUCAUAUCUCUUCUUCGUGCUUUAAACAAGGUUGGGAAGGGGAAGAAAACCCUGCAUUUUGGCAUGCAGGACAAUCAAAAAUCCAAUCCAGAAAAUUAAAAAGUCAUUGGUAUGUGUCAGUGUUCCUGCAAUAUCCUCCCACUCACAUUUUUGCAUUGUAAAAAUCCAGCAUGCAGUUGUUGGUUAGGACUGGAAAUUAAAGCUAAUCCCCUCAGUUGCCUUAUGCAUGUCAUACACCAAUUGAAGCAAUGGCAUUUUGCUUUCUUGUCUUGCUACUUCAGUGAAUUUCUUCUUGGGUCCUUUACACCUGGGAAACACACAGAGAAUUAAACACACCUCUCUAUGGAAAUGGGAGAGCCAAACACAAGAAUUACGUUGAUCUUGGAUAAAUUAUCAUUUAAUGUAGUUCUAAUAAUUCCCACUAUUUUGUAAAGUUUGGUGGGGAUCUCGGUAAUAUAGAACAUGCUGUGGCCUUUGGCCCAGCAUAUUUUGAACGAGAUUUCCACCAACUUGUUUCCUUUCAACCCACUAAUGGCCAGUAGCCAGUAGUAGGAGUUGGAUUCUUUUCUUGAUUGGUGGGUUAGAACACAUGGAAACCCUCUUAUGCUGUGUAUGUUUUGUAAACUACAAGCUUGGACUGAAAACAGCCAUUUUAGAGUUCUAGGAAAGUAAUUUUAAAUAAAUACUUCAAAAUAUUAUUCUGGAACUGAAUUUUUUCCAAUUUUUUAAAAUUGGAAGAGGCCUUCUUGGUAGUGAUGAAGAAAGAAAUAUGUAUUUUUAAAAAAUAACUCUUAGAAAUCAUCUAAAAGUUUAACAGUCAUGAAGACUUCAUCCUAAAUGACAUUUUGGUUUCUUUAAAAGGGAUUGCAUUAGCUCUCAGAAUGGAAGUGUCACCAGAUCAACUGUAACUAUAGCUUGACACUUUGUGCUUCUGUGCAUGUGCACAGCUUGAUAUUAUCUAAGUACUGGUAACAGUGAUACCUAAGGCUGCCCUGGAUAAACACAGGUUUCUGAUGACAGCAUCUUAAGUACAGGAGAAAAGCUCUUGUGCAGUUUACAUUUAUGAUACCAUCAUAUCCCUGUGGUGCUGACAGAGCUUCAUUCACAGUUUUUCGGUGAGUUGUUUUUCUGUAUUUCAUGUAUCACUUCUCUUUCUUGGUGAAAAUCAUUGAUAUUUCUUCUCUUUAAUAAAACCAGAUUAAAAUUAAGAAUGAACAUCAAAAUACCUUUUACUAACCUCGUUAUUUUAAAAGAAUUCAAAAUCCCAAUUUGACUUCUUAAUGGUUGUAAAAUGUAUGUUUUGGACAGUAGAACUGUAUUUUAAGAAAUAAAGUAAUAAAUAAAGAAUAUUU